Molecule: ribosomal RNA, 823 nt
Filed under: uncultured bacterium
Lineage: Bacteria
Description: bacterial SSU rRNA
Rfam family: Bacterial small subunit ribosomal RNA
Source: RNAcentral
CCUAACACAUGCAAGUCGAACGGACUCUUCGGAGUUAGUGGCGGACGGGUGAGUAACACGUGGGAACGUGCCUUUUAGGUUCGGAAUAGCUCCUGGAAACGGGUGGUAAUGCCGAAUGUGCCCUUCGGGGGAAAGAUUUAUCGCCUUUAGAGCGGCCCGCGUCUGAUUAGCUAGUUGGUGAGGUAAUGGCUCACCAAGGCGACGAUCAGUAGCUGGUCUGAGAGGAUGACCAGCCACAUUGGGACUGAGACACGGCCCAAACUCCUACGGGAGGCAGCAGUGGGGAAUCUUGCGCAAUGGGCGAAAGCCUGACGCAGCCAUGCCGCGUGAAUGAUGAAGGUCUUAGGAUUGUAAAAUUCUUUCACCGGGGACGAUAAUGACGGUACCCGGAGAAGAAGCCCCGGCUAACUUCGUGCCAGCAGCCGCGGUAAUACGAAGGGGGCUAGCGUUGCUCGGAAUUACUGGGCGUAAAGGGCGCGUAGGCGGACAUUUAAGUCAGGGGUGAAAUCCCAGAGCUCAACUCUGGAACUGCCUUUGAUACUGGGUGUCUUGAGUGUGAGAGAGGUAUGUGGAACUCCGAGUGUAGAGGUGAAAUUCGUAGAUAUUCGGAAGAACACCAGUGGCGAAGGCGACAUACUGGCUCAUUACUGACGCUGAGGCGCGAAAGCGUGGGGAGCAAACAGGAUUAGAUACCCUGGUAGUCCACGCCGUAAACGAUGAUUGCUAGUUGUCGGGCUGCAUGCAGUUCGGUGACGCAGCUAACGCAUUAAGCAAUCCGCCUGGGGAGUACGGUCGCAAGAUUAAAACUCAAAGGAAUUGACGG